Long non-coding RNA from Micropterus salmoides (largemouth bass), 701 nucleotides. RefSeq lists it as uncharacterized. NCBI's taxonomy places the organism in Eukaryota, Metazoa, Chordata, Actinopteri, Centrarchiformes, Centrarchidae. The record is from RefSeq and is a predicted model, not a curated record. The transcript is spliced from 5 exons.
UCACCACCUGUGGCUCAUCAAGCAAUCAACCCAAGCAGUGAAAUACUCGUCCACUUUUUGCCAGUUUGUCAGUUUACCUCCCGUGGUACUAUUGCUUUGACCAACUCUUUUGGAAAUCGUAGUCUUGUUGAGUAUGUUUGUGUCUGUGUAUCCUGUCAAGUUCUUCUUAGAAUCAAGCCAGUAUGCAAAAUCCCAGAGCCAGUAUCUUCAUGGUGGAGAGCUAAGAGGAGGCAGAGGUGCACCACAAAUAAUAUUGAAAAUGUCCUGUUGCACAGUAGCCAGGCUGCUGUGUUAUAGUGCUGUGAAAGUUCUCCCACUGCAACCUUGUCUACUUCCACUCUCUUCUGGGAAACUGUGAGGGAACCUUUUGUUCUUGCUUUUAUACAAAAAUACCACGGUUCAAAAGGUGUGAAUUUAUGACGUAUAUUCAUCCUGACUCUGGACCCAGGAAGUUGGAUGGGGAGUGCUGAUGGGACUGGAGCUGGAGAGCGGAAAGAUGGUGGAUCUGGCUGUGGAGAAGCAGUUUACAGGAGACACUGCUUACAAGUUUUAAUGCAUUCAAAACCCUGAUGUCUAACUGAACAAAAGACUAACUACCAUGAAGAUGUGUUUGAGUGAAAGAAGAACAUCCAAUUGAAUGGACCCCAGAAAGAAUAACCAAUCCGUAUGCUGGUGCUAAUGGGGAUCCUAAAGAAGAAGUA